GAAAAAUUAGUUAAUUUAUAACAUUAAAUUGUCAAUUUAAAAUAAAUAUUUAUAUUAUUAUUAUUUUUCU
Molecule: transfer RNA, 70 nt
Filed under: Bombus kashmirensis
Lineage: Eukaryota; Metazoa; Arthropoda; Insecta; Hymenoptera; Apidae
Description: tRNA-Asp
Source: RNAcentral